Molecule: ribosomal RNA, 454 nt
Filed under: uncultured bacterium
Lineage: Bacteria
Description: bacterial SSU rRNA
Rfam family: Bacterial small subunit ribosomal RNA
Source: RNAcentral
UACGGAAGGCAGCAGUGGGGAAUAUUGCACAAUGGGCGCAAGCCUGAUGCAGCCAUGCCGCGUGUAUGAAGAAGGCCUUCGGGUUGUAAAGUACUUUCAGCGGGGAGGAAGGCGAUGCGGUUAAUAACCGCGUCGAUUGACGUUACCCGCAGAAGAAGCACCGGCUAACUCCGUGCCAGCAGCCGCGGUAAUACGGAGGGUGCAAGCGUUAAUCGGAAUUACUGGGCGUAAAGCGCACGCAGGCGGUCUGUUAAGUCAGAUGUGAAAUCCCCGGGCUUAACCUGGGAACUGCAUUUUGAACUGGCAGGCUUGAGUCUUGUAGAGGGGGUAGAAUUCCAGGUGUAGCGGUGAAAUGCGUAGAGAUCUGGAGGAAUACCGGUGGCGAAGGCGGCCCCUGGGACAAAGCUGACGCUCAGGGUGCGAAAGCGUGGGGAGCAAACGAGGAUUAGAUACC